This 520-nucleotide transfer RNA is filed under the name uncultured Prochlorococcus sp. RNAcentral's name for it is "partial 16S-23S ribosomal RNA intergenic spacer". The stretch from base 212 to 284 matches the Rfam family "tRNA". Lineage: Bacteria; Bacillati; Cyanobacteriota; Cyanophyceae; Synechococcales; Prochlorococcaceae. The record is from RNAcentral.
CAGGGAGACAACAAAAUGUUUAAUAUUAAUUUUGUCACCUUAGGUCGAUCGGUAUCUCACAUCCUUAAUUCAUUAAGGAUUUCAUUUCCUAAGUUUUUCUAGGUCACACCCAUUAUUUUUCCUGGGCCAUUAGCUCAGGUGGUUAGAGCGCACCCCUGAUAAGGGUGAGGUCCCUGUACAAGUCCAAGGAUGGCCAUCAUAUCUCUAUGUUGGGGGUAUAGCUCAGUUGGUAGAGCGCCUGCUUUGCAAGCAGGAUGUCAGCGGUUCGAGUCCGCUUACCUCCACUGAUCACCACCUCUUCCAUAAAUUUACAGAGGGAAAUGUUUUGAGUUGGAUCUUUCUGACGAAGCCGCUUCCUAAUAUUCUUAUUAAUGCUGGACUCAUUGAAUUAAUUUCAUUGUUUUCAGAGAACCUUGACAACUGCAUAGAUUAUUUUUAAAGACAAUAAGCAUCUUUAAUGAUGCAGAUUUAUUAUUUGUGCGAAUGCAUUAAUAACAAUUCUAUUAAGCUGAUGCUUCAA